RNAcentral lists this ribosomal RNA (497 nucleotides) under uncultured bacterium. RNAcentral's name for it is "partial 16S ribosomal RNA". It matches the Rfam family "Bacterial small subunit ribosomal RNA", at positions 28 to 507 of the family's 1533-position model. The record is from RNAcentral.
GAUGAACGCUGGCGGCGUGCCUAAUACAUGCAAGUCGAGCGAACAGACGAGGAGCUUGCUCCUCUGACGUUAGCGGCGGACGGGUGAUUAACACGUGGAUAACCUACCUAUAAGACUGGGAUAACUUCGGGAAACCGGAGCUAAUACCGGAUAAUAUAUUGAACCGCAUUGUUCAAUAGUGAAAGACGGUUUUGCUGUCACUUAUAGAUGGAUCCGCGCCGCAUUAGCUAGUUGGUAAGGUAACGGCUUACCAAGGCAACGAUGCGUAGCCGACCUGAGAGGGUGAUCGGCCACACUGGAACUGAGACACGGUCCAGACUACUACGGGAGGCAGCAGUAGGGAAUCUUCCGCAAUGGGCGAAAGCCUGACGGAGCAACGCCGCGUGAGUGAUGAAGGUCUUCGGAUCGUAAAACUCUGUUAUUAGGGAAGAACAAAUGUGUAAGUAACUAUGCACGUCUUGACGGUACCUAAUCAGAAAGCCACGGCUAACUACGUG